This 497-nucleotide ribosomal RNA is filed under the name uncultured bacterium. RNAcentral's name for it is "partial 16S ribosomal RNA". It matches the Rfam family "Bacterial small subunit ribosomal RNA", at positions 28 to 507 of the family's 1533-position model. The record is from RNAcentral.
GAUGAACGCUGGCGGCGUGCCUAAUACAUGCAAGUCGAGCGAACAGACGAGGAGCUUGCUCCUCUGACGUUAGCGGCGGACGGGUGAGUAACACGUGGAUAACCUACCUAUAAGACUGGGAUAACUUCGGGAAACCGGAGCUAAUACCGGAUAAUAUAUUGAACCGCAUGGUUCAAUAGUGAAAGACGGUUUUGCUGUCACUUAUAGAUGGAUCCGCGCCGCAUUAGCUAGUUGGUAAGGUAACGGCUUACCAAGGCAACGAUGCGUAGCCGACCUGAGAGGGUGGAUGGCCCCACUGGAACCGGAACACCGUCCAGACUCCUAAGGGGAGCCGCCAUAGGGAAUCUUCCGGAAUGGGGGGAAGCUUGGACGAGCAACGGCGGCUGGGUGGAGAAAGGCUUCCGGUCCGAAAACUCUGUUAUUAGGGAAGAACAAAUGUGUAAGGAACUAAGCCCGUAUUGACGGUAACUAAUCAAAAAGCCCCGGCUAACUACGUG